CCCUUAGAUGUUCUGGGCUGCACACGUGCUACACUGGCAGGUUCAGCGAGCUUCAUGCCCUGAUCUGAAAGGAAUGGGAAAUCUUUUCAAAACCUGCCGUGCUUGGGAUAGAUGUUUGCAAUUAUUCAUCUUCAACGAGGAUUGCCUUGUAAGCGCACGUCAUCAGCGUGCAUUGAAUACGACCCUGUAUUCUGUACACACCGCCCGUCGCUCCUACCGAUCGAAGAGUUAGGUGAAUUGUUUUGAUCGAUAAGAUUUGACUAUGGUCAACUCUCGUUGGGAAAUUCUGUGAAUCUGACUGUUUAGAGGAAGGAAAAGUCGUAACA
RNAcentral lists this ribosomal RNA (326 nucleotides) under uncultured eukaryote. RNAcentral's name for it is "partial 18S ribosomal RNA". It matches the Rfam family "Eukaryotic small subunit ribosomal RNA", at positions 1470 to 1796 of the family's 1831-position model. The record is from RNAcentral.